CUGGGUCUCAGUAUGCUUCAGACUCGCGGUGUCGAACUUUUCGAUGCCGGCGAUCAGCGUUUGCUGGGUCUUCUCCGCGGCAACAUCUGGAAAUGGAACGAUCGAUCUCAGAAACGGAAAUAAUUAUAAUACAAUCGACAGUCUAGACACGAUGUGUCUGACCCGAAAAUGCCGAAUCCGGAAGUGAAGGUACUCUUGACGCCUUCUGCAUGAGCACCUGCUUAUAUCAAUUUAGUGACCUGGAGAACAGUGAAUAACGGAACAUGCAUAAUAUCGUGUGAGUUAUUAAAUAUACGAGAAUCAUUUCCACAUAAGGUGAAUAUAUGUAGGCAAGAGAGAAAGAGACACGCUGUUUCCAAUCGUCAGCGAACAUGUGGCAGUUUUCUUUGUCGAACCGCACCACCAGCAAUCUACGCGCUGACAACAGCGGUUGCUAUUGAAUACCAACGAAGCUGUUACAAAUGAAGCUAUCGACAGCGACGUCGGAAUUGCACAUUGCAUUGUCGCAGCAGCACAAAUGCAGCGGAACUUUCUUUGCGAAUACUUUCUCGAUUCACAAUGAGAUUUUGUUGAUGCAAGACUUUAAUUGAAAAAUAAAGAGAAAUAUAAAA
Molecule: long non-coding RNA, 611 nt
Organism: Cataglyphis hispanica
Lineage: Eukaryota; Metazoa; Arthropoda; Insecta; Hymenoptera; Formicidae
Exons: 2
Source: RefSeq, a predicted model, not a curated record